Molecule: long non-coding RNA, 367 nt
Filed under: Populus trichocarpa (black cottonwood)
Lineage: Eukaryota; Viridiplantae; Streptophyta; Magnoliopsida; Malpighiales; Salicaceae
Description: long non-coding RNA (PTRI_LNC002248)
Source: RNAcentral
CUGCUUCCACAUUGUUGCUGUGAUUGAUCUCGCUCCCUUCCGUCGGCGCUGAUGCAGGUGCUGAGCCUGGAACAACGGACGGAACCGGAUCUGAAGGCGGUGGUGCUGGUGGGGAUGCCAACGGCGAAUCUGACGGAGAUCCAGUUUCUGGUGAAGGAGAUGGAAGAGGAGGAGAUAGAAAUGGUGAAUUGGCGGGGGCGGCGGAUUCUUCGGUAGAUGGAGAUGGAGAUGGUGACUGUUCAGGUGUUUCCGCGGAGGAGGAGGAGAUUUGCAAUAAAAACAAGGCUAAAACAAGCACUAAUCCAGUGAUGCUACCCAUAUUUGAAUCUGAACUAGGAAAUGGCCAGAGAGGAGAGAGAGAGGGGGG